Molecule: non-coding RNA, 1256 nt
Organism: Meleagris gallopavo (turkey)
Lineage: Eukaryota; Metazoa; Chordata; Aves; Galliformes; Phasianidae
Source: RefSeq, a predicted model, not a curated record
UCCCUGCCUACUUGAAGCCUUCCUGAGGCCCAUGCGAGCAUUUAGAGGCCCUGCUUAAGUGGCACUAAAAGGCAAUUCUGGAAAGUAAUUGACUGGUCUGGUGGGUAGAGGGGGAGAAGGAAGAAGAAAAGGAAGGUGACAAUGACUUGGCCUGAGUUCCUGCACUGCCAGAAGCAGCAGCACUCCUAUUAUGAUUGAUUCUAUUUGAGAUGCUCAAGAGAAAUGAGCAGUAUAUGUGGUUCCACAUUUUCUUUAUCGUCCAGCUGGGAGGGGAGGAGGAAAGGGAAUGGGGGUGUGAGGGGGAAUUCAUUUGCACAUCUAUUCGAAAUGCUUUGUGCUGAGGUAAAGAUGAUUCCGAGGACAUGAGCUGCUGCAGCAUACAGAUGUGUUUGUUUAGUUAAUUGAGUUGUCAUGGCAACUACUUCAUCUUAACUGCCACAGUGUAUAGGUUGUCACUGCAGCUGAUGACUCUAAGCAAACCAUUAUACUUCCAACAAAAUCAGGUAACUGUUUGGCUGGGUUACAAGUUAAAAAAUGUCAUUUUGAUGCCCCCCAGAACACACGAACAAAAUCUGACUUACUUUUUAAGAGCAAAUCACCACAGCUUUGCGCUGGUAGCAUUUUUCUAGCUUAUCCAGAAGAGCUCCCACAUCAUCUGGUAACUCGGGAAAUAUGAAAUGACACAGUUGUCCAAAACCUACAAAAUAAGUCAAUCUUAAGAGAACGAUGGUGCUCAGAUGAAUCUCUGAAUACAUAAUAUAGCAAGGUGAAAUAUGUUGAAAUCUGAAGAAAACAUAGAACAGUUUGAAAUUGAGUCAAGACCUGAAUUUCUGGUGGAGGACCAGCCUUGGGCGAGUGGUUUUCUAUCAGAGCUCUCUGCUUCCUCUAUGUUAGCUGGAAGCAGAAAAGGGGAAAAUAGAUCACAGCAGGAAUCUCACACCUUUGCUUGUGCUCAGCUUGGCAUGCAGACUGACAGAUAUUUAAGAGAAGUGAGGGCUGUGGUACCCCAUGGGAAAUGAAUACGUCUGGAAAAGAAAUCGUUGGCUAAAAGUGGAUAGAAGCUGUUCCUCUAAGUUCUUGCUGGAUGGAUGUUUAUUUCCAUGUGCCUGACGCUCUGGGGUGUUCUAAGCCACAGAGUCCUUGGUGGGUUUCAGUGUGGCCUUGUAAGCAGCUGGGCCAACAGCUCUUGGAAAUGAGCAGUGAGCUGUUGAGGAAAGGUAAGUGGGAAUACCCACUGGUGCUGGAGACUUUGUCUC